Molecule: small RNA, 333 nt
Filed under: Histoplasma capsulatum var. duboisii H88
Lineage: Eukaryota; Fungi; Ascomycota; Eurotiomycetes; Onygenales; Ajellomycetaceae
Description: Histoplasma capsulatum H88 hypothetical RNA
Source: RNAcentral
GGCAUCUGAGGAGUUUGAGGAGUUGACUAUGAAUCGCAUCUCAACUGAAGGAUGGAUGAUCACACCGGAAAAGUUUCCCAACCUUAGGAUCUUGCAUUUAACCUCAUUGAAUAUUGUGAACAACAAUUUCUUCCCUCAAUCAAUCAAGACUCUCAAGGAGGUGGAGAUCUCUCAAAGCUGCAUUCAGACACUAGACUCAUGUUUUCUGAAUGCAGUUGAGGCUAAUGCAGAACACCUUGAUUUGGAUCUGAAAUAUGACAAUAUUGCACAAAUCACAUGUUAUAAACCUGCGGCACGGCCCAGGGCUUAUUGGAUAAGAACCAAAGAGUGCAG